Molecule: long non-coding RNA, 2141 nt
Organism: Gallus gallus (chicken)
Lineage: Eukaryota; Metazoa; Chordata; Aves; Galliformes; Phasianidae
Source: Ensembl
CUAUAUGAUGAUGUAUUGUGUUAAUCUGAAGCAGUCUGCAUCACAGCUGUUUUAGAGCAUAUUGCUCAAGUCUCCCAUUUCUGAUUGUACCCUUGGAGACAGCCUAAAGGGGAAAAGCUUUGUGCCUGAGGAAAAAGAUAAAAAAGUGAAAAUAUUUCUUUUUAUCAUUCUGAUAGAAAAUUAAAGAAUCAUAGAAUAUCUCAAGCUGUAAGGGACCCAGAAGGAUGAUCGAGUUCAACUUCUGCAUGCAACUGAGUGAAACAGAAAGGAAAUAGCCUGUAGUCUUCUGUGAUGACGAAUUUCUGCUGUACCAUGAAAGCACUGUGGAAGAGAGCCCUGCCAUCUAUGUAAAUACACUUAAAGAGCAGAAGAUCUUCUGCACUCUCUUUGUAGAUGUGAACGUGCUGUGUGUGCAAGGCAGAAGGUUGUGACAUGUCAUAAACUUCUCUAAUUUCUGCGGUCUUUUUACAGUCAUGAAUAGCAGUCAAUCUCUCUAAGCAACCCAUUCUGGAUUCUGGUUUAAAACCACUACAUAUUUGAAGUUAGAAACAAGAGAUAUUUUAGUAUUCUACCUCUUUCAACAUGUACUUUCUGUCUUGAUUUAAGUCCAAGAACUUAGUAAUAUGGUAGGCAGAAACUCACCUGUCAGAGAAGUUUACUUUUUUGGACAAAUGUCAUGCUAGAAAUCAUGGGAUGAUUUCAGAUAUUUUCAUCAUUAAAAGAAAUGUUGGAGUAAACCAUGGACAUGUGGACAUGAACUGAUGUGAAGUGAAUAGAUUGCAGACAAAAUUCUUCUCUCAUCUGGAGUAGAUUCAUUUGCUUCAGUGAAACAAUUCUGGAUUUCCAGUGAUGUAAUUUGGAACAGCAUCUGGCUUCAGAUACAUAAGAAGAUCUCCUUGUAAUGGUUUAUAUCACUGACUACUUACUGCAUGAUUUUGCUAUGCUUUUCGUAGUUCUUAUUAGCUACACAUAAUCGUUAGUCUUAAAUCUUUCUCGUGUUUCAUACAAGGCCAAUAAAAGCCUUGCAGAACGAGGAAAAUGUACAUUUCCUUCAGAUCACCACUGUGUAGCAUCUUUCAAAACUUAGUUAAAAUCACAGUCAACAAUUAUCUUCUCUUUUUAGUUUGGAUAUUACUUUAUGGAAUACAGGUGAAGGAAAAGCCUCUCAGUUCUGUCUGUUCUUCACAUAAAGCAAGUCGGUGCAACAAGUCAGAGACAUUUACUUGGCGAACAGCCUUCAAUUAGUGGGAUUUUUCCCAUAAGGACUCUUCCUCUAUUUGAGUAAAUGUAUGUUGUGUUGACAGACAUCCAUUCUAGUCACCUUCGCAUAGUUUCAUUAUUAUUUUCUUUUAAACAAAUAAAUACAGUGCAGGACCUGCCUUCUCUCAAACCUGUGGCCAAAUUCUGCUUCCAAACAUGACACCCAUUCAUCAUCAUACAGAAUGUAAAGGAGAGGUGGACUGAAAGUUACUCUUCCUCUGUCACUGUGUGGAUGUUUUAGUACAUCAUUCUUUUCACUACAAGGCUUUCAAAGUCACACUCUGAACAUGAGAACUGCAGGCAAUCUUCACUGCCUUCAGAAUCUGUUUUAAAUGUUUUAAACUUUUUAAUGCAAGAAGGCUUAAUAAAACUACAAGACAAUAGUGAAUACAUAUGUAAAUACGCUAAAUACGAUGAAGAAAUCAGCAUUUGCUAUUAUCCCACACAUUCUACAGUUGCAUUCUGUUGUAUAUUACAAAGCUGUAGCAUCUGAUUUCUUAAUGGUUAAGGCUGUACUUUGCAAAUAUGUUCAGAAAUAUCCACGCAGAUGUUUCUGUUUAAUCUUAUUACACUUGCUUUUCCAGCUUGGAAAUUUAAUUCCAGGAUCAUAAUUAAUAAUACAUAAUUAAUAAUUUCAUUUAGUCCGAGUGAUUACAAGGACUGUUGUGGUAGCCAAAAGCAAUAUUUGUGUCAUUUGCCUUUCAUUGAACUUCUAAGGUAGUGACACUUGUUUUAAUAAAAGAUAAAUAUUACAGUUGAGUCUGUUUAUUUUUUCCAUUACAUCUGGAUUCUCUUUCUGGCUUUCCUUUAGGUAAAUUUUUUACAAAUCUUUUCUCAAAGAAAAUAUUAAUGAUAUACCAUUAUCUUUUUCUAAAAGGCAG